CAGGGGCAGGAACAGCACCACCAGGGGCAGGAACAGCACCACCAGGGGCAGGAACAGCACCACAGGGACAGGAACAGCACCACCAGAGGAAGGAACAGCACCACCAAGGGCAGGAACAGCACCACCAGGGGCAGGAACAGCACCACCAGGGGCAGGAACAGCACCACCAGGGGCAGGAACAGCACCACCAGGGGCAGGAACAGCACCACCAGGGGCAGGAACAGCACCAGCAGGUAAAGGAACAGCAUCAACAGGUAAAGGAACAGCAUCAACAGGUAAAGGAACAGCAUCAACAGGUAAAGGAACAGCAUCAACAGGUAAAGGAACGGUACCAGCAGGUAAAGGAACAGAACCAGCAGGUAAAGGAACAGAACCAGCAGGUAAAGGAACAGCAGCGGAGCACAGCAGAGUGGGGGCCACUGCUCACACACAUCAGCCCUUUACAGAAGCCUCACACAGCAACGUACUAGUGUCUGCCUCUCUGACACUAUCCCAGCUGGCCACUACUAUCCCAGCUGGCCACUACUAUCCCAGCUGGCCACUACUAUCCUAGCUGGCCACUACUAUCCCAGCUGGCCACUACUAUCCCAGCUGGCCACUACUAUCCCAGCUAGCCACUACUAUCCCAGCUAGCCACUACUAUCCCAGCUGGCCACUACUAUCCCAGCUGGCCACCACUACAGGCCCAUCAAACAAUAAGGAGAGCUACCUAUGAUUUACUACAAGAUUUCUUCAAUAAAAAGCAUUUAUUUGUGUUCUUGACUUAAAGCGGAUUCAGAUUUUGGAAAACGAAACUCUUUUGCCGGAUUUUGCAUGUUGAGAGAGAUCAUACCGACAUAUAUUAGCAUACAAUAUGGCACAGUAUAUCCUCACUUAACCAAUAUAGCCAAACCUUUAAUUAUAUGAACACUAGAUGUGAUAUUACUCUAACUUAAUAUAACCUAUGAAUAUAU
Molecule: long non-coding RNA, 953 nt
Organism: Homarus americanus (American lobster)
Lineage: Eukaryota; Metazoa; Arthropoda; Malacostraca; Decapoda; Nephropidae
Exons: 2
Source: RefSeq, a predicted model, not a curated record